Molecule: ribosomal RNA, 261 nt
Filed under: uncultured bacterium
Lineage: Bacteria
Description: partial small subunit ribosomal RNA
Rfam family: Bacterial small subunit ribosomal RNA
Source: RNAcentral
AGGACGAACGCUGGCGGCGUGCUUAACACAUGCAAGUCGAGCGGAAAGGCCCUUCGGGGUACUCGAGCGGCGAACGGGUGAGUAACACGUGAGCAACCUGCCCUUGGCUCUGGGAUAGCCUCCGGAAACGGGGAUUAAUACCGGACAUUCACUUUCUCCUGCAUGGGUGAUGGUGGAAAGUUUUUUCGGCCAGGGAGGGGCUCGCGGCCUAUCAGCUUGUUGGCGGGGUAACGGCCCACCAAGGCGACGACGGGUAGCCGG